UAGGGCAGGCAGUGCACAUUGGUGGCUUGACAAGAAUUGACUUUAUUAAAGCCUCUAUUGAAACAAUAUAUGUAACAGUUUGGGCAUCACCAAAAUGUUUCUCUUCACAUGGGAAAAGUAGAAAAUGCUGAAGAGGUUUGGGGUAAUCAUGUUGGUGUCAGGUUGCAGCCUCCCAUUGGCAAUAAACGCGCUGCUGACUUAGGCACAUGGCAAGAAAUGGAAAUUAAGGUAUCUGGAACUAGUUGGGAGGUCAACAGUAUUGACAUAGCGAUAGCUGGCUUAGGUUGGUAUUCUCUGUGCCUCAAAGGGGAAGCAACCAUGAAACUGUGGACCUUUGAUGGUGUUGAAGUAACCUUAAGAGAGCCAUUGGUCCUUGACCAGGCCCGGUCCCUCGAGAAACCUGGUUUUGGUUAACAAGAGCCAUCUCUGAUGCUAUUGGCAACCAAACCAAACUUGAAGCUCAAAAAAAGACAAAAACUUGAUGAUCAAGAUACAGAUUUUGUGGGGGCAGGUUUCGAACUAUCACCUUGAGCAGAAAUUUUUAAUAUCAUUGCAAGAGUACUUUCAGGUGAAAAUAGAAGAUGUAACUGAAUUUGACAUGUUGCAGAGACAAUAACAUGUUUUUAGCUAGAAGUUUUUUGUGCCGGUCUUCUCUUUGCUAGUUGGUGUGAGAACCAACUUCCAAUUUAUAAAUAGAGAAAGUAGAGAUAAAUGUAACCCUUCUUGUUUAAAUGUUAUGUUAAUUGAUUUUGUAGUAUG
This is a non-coding RNA of Arachis ipaensis, 759 nucleotides long. The record is from RefSeq and is a predicted model, not a curated record. Lineage: Eukaryota; Viridiplantae; Streptophyta; Magnoliopsida; Fabales; Fabaceae.